UACGUAGGGUGCGAGCGUUAAUCGGAAUUACUGGGCGUAAAGCGUGCGCAGGCGGUUCUCCAAGUCCGUUGUGAAAGCCCCGGGCUCAACCUGGGAAUGGCAGUGGAAACUAGGGGACUGGAAUCUGGCAGAGGGGGGUGGAAUGCCGCGUGUAGCAGUGAAAUGCGUAGAGAUGCGGCGGAACACCGAUGGCGAAGGCAGCCCCCUGGGCCAAUACUGACGCUCAUGCACGAAAGCGUGGGGAGCAAACAGG
RNAcentral lists this ribosomal RNA (253 nucleotides) under uncultured bacterium. RNAcentral's name for it is "partial 16S ribosomal RNA". It matches the Rfam family "Bacterial small subunit ribosomal RNA", at positions 524 to 776 of the family's 1533-position model. The record is from RNAcentral.